Molecule: long non-coding RNA, 1485 nt
Organism: Oncorhynchus nerka (sockeye salmon)
Lineage: Eukaryota; Metazoa; Chordata; Actinopteri; Salmoniformes; Salmonidae
Exons: 3
Source: RefSeq, a predicted model, not a curated record
AGUUUUGCUUUGGUACUGCAGUUCAGUUUAGCUGAUGCCUGGCCCAGAAAGAAUAAUUUCCAUUGGCGGCCAGAUUUGAAAUUUCCUUCAUCACCUUUUUCCACAAAACACCCACUGAAUUAUUCAGUUAAUUAUUACAGAGGCCGAAAGUAUAUAUAUAUUUUUUAAUCACAUAGACUAAGUUAUUUUAUAUUCAUCCAAUGUCUGUCAUGUUUUCGUUGCUGCUUGCGCUGAGUGCUAGUGCCAUGCGCAUCCAGUAUAAACUCGAUGCAACCUGGAAUCGGGAUAAUGAGAACAUACAGGGAAGACCCUCACUGGGGUAGCCAAAAGGGUCAGGCUCCGAAACAAAUAGGGAAUAUUUAUAACCGCUAGCCGCAUAAUUCGAGAUUGAAUUACUUUUACCCUUGUCAGUUUGUGCAAUAAAUGAGAAUGACCUCAAAUCAUUUCUCUCUCCAUCCCUCUUUCCAUGCAGGUCCAUUGUCACUAAUAUGUGGUGUUGGAGUUUGUCUCUGCUCAGCUGACAGACAGGAGAUACAGGAAUCCAUUCUGUUCCAAAUUAUGCUGAUGCCCCAUUGUAAGAACCUGGAGAUAUUCACUGGCUCUGAGGGAGGUGAUGUUGCUACAAACAAUGCUUGGGACAGCUUCCAGCCCUACUGUUAUCUGGAGAACAGCCAGAGAGUGGUCAAGACAUCUGCCACAACUCCAUCUUUAGUGUGUCAGCUCUGCUGCACCUGGGCACUAAAGAUUGAUCUGGCUUGCUGAUAACAUCUGAUCUGAUGAGACUCCCGAUGUGAUUUGACUCCUAUAUUAAUGACUUCAAUAAAACUUCCAAUGCCAAAUUGAGAUUGGUAUUCUGCAAUUGAUACACAAUGGUAGUUCCCAGUCAGACAAUAACUAUAAAACCAAUGUUUUCCUCAGUGAAUGUGUUUUGCCCUCAGUCCUCCUUUUGAAUGUUAUGUGUACUGAUUCAGUUCUAAACGACUGUCAAAUCCAUCCUCACUUACUCGAUCACUGCAACGGAGUGUCUGGUCUUCUGAGAUGGUCCUUGACUGCCGCCUGCCCUGCAUCGAAGUCCUGCAGGACAAGGAAGCGUGCAGGAAAGAUCAUUGCCGACCCCUUCCAUCCCCUCUUCCAAAGACUCCCCUCUGGCAAAUGGUUAAGGUCAAUCACGACCAAAACCUCCCGCCACCUGAACAGUUUCUUCCCCAGCGCCGUGGCCCUCACCAACUGGCCACCUGGUCCACGGAUCAUCCGCUCAUCCACAGACUAUGUACCUUGCACUAUCAUCCCAGAACUGCAAAUUGUUCUUCGCAUCUCUUACAUGCAUCAUUUAUGUAGUGUAGCUUAUAGCGUAGUUUAACGUUUUUAGCUUAAUGUUCAUUGUAUAAACACUGGAUCUGCAUCUAUAUUUGGUCUGCCAGCACCAUUUCAGAGUCAAAUUCCUGUACAUGUAUUUGUCGAAUAAAGCUGAUUCUGACAUGCUAA